This 483-nucleotide ribosomal RNA is filed under the name uncultured bacterium. Its description in RNAcentral is "partial 16S ribosomal RNA". It matches the Rfam family "Bacterial small subunit ribosomal RNA", at positions 28 to 507 of the family's 1533-position model. The record is from RNAcentral.
GACGAACGCUGGCGGCAUGCUUAACACAUGCAAGUCGAACGCUGAAGCUCAGCUUUUGUUGGGUGGAUGAGUGGCGAACGGGUGAGUAACACGUGAGUAACCUGCCCCCUUCUUUGGGAUAACGCCCGGAAACGGGUGCUAAUACUGGAUAUUCACUGGUCUUCGCAUGGGGGUUGGUGGAAAGGGUUUUUCUGGUGGGGGAUGGGCUCGCGGCCUAUCAGCUUGUUGGUGGGGUGAUGGCCUACCAAGGCUUUGACGGGUAGCCGGCCUGAGAGGGUGACCGGUCACAUUGGGACUGAGAUACGGCCCAGACUCCUACGGGAGGCAGCAGUGGGGAAUAUUGCACAAUGGGCGCAAGCCUGAUGCAGCGACGCCGCGUGAGGGAUGGAGGCCUUCGGGUUGUGAACCUCUUUCGCUCAUGGUCAAGCCGCAACAAUGGUUGUGGUGAGGGUAGUGGGUAAAGAAGCGCCGGCUAACUACGUG